UCGUCGAUUCGGAGGCACUUGAUCUUCAAUCAGGUCUUAUCUACGAAGAAUACCCAAUUGCCAUUCUUGAUCAUGAUAAAAGAAAGGUGAAGCGUAGCAUGGUGAAGUUUGUCAAAGUUUAAUGGAGUAAUCAUCCUGAAGAUGAAGCCACAUGGGAACGUGAGGAUUGCUUAUGUCGAGAAUACCCUGAUUUCUUUUCCGAGGGGUGAGUUUUCACUCUGUCACCACACCCAUGUUCUUGUACCUCAAUUCUUGGAUGUGUAACUUGUCUAGGUGAAUAUGGUCUCAAUCUAGUCCAAGUUUUAUCCUUCCCCUCUUGUCUACCUAAAUCUCGGGACGAGAUUUUCUUAACGGGGGGAGAGUUGUCACGACCCCAAAUUUUAAGGCCUGGACGGUCCGGUGUGAGGCCUGGACAGUCCGGUAGCUCUUCUGUUCUAGCGUGCCGCGCGAGGCCACGCGCCAGCCAUCCCCGGUAUGCGUGUGUCGGGCAUCGCCGCCAGCCAUCCUCGGUUAAUGCGUCCUUAUCCGCAGUUGUCGUCGCCGGCCUUAUCCCCUCUGAGCUGCCGUAUUCCCCUUCUACUUCUCCCCCUUCCUCGAGCUCGAGCCGAGCAAUGGCACAGCCGGCGCCACGACCAUCUCCGUCGCACCUCGCUCCGAUUCCGCACGCCAGAGCCUGCUCCGCCUUGUCCUCCACCUCUGCCGUGCUUCCCCAAGUCCGGCCGAGCCCCACCCUAACCGGAAUCGAUCCCGCACCGGCCGGCCGCCAUUGGAAGCCGUCGCGAGGAGCUCCGUUGCCGCCGCCGAUUCGCCGCCCAUGGCUUCCCGGCGAGCACCUCCACCCGUCAUCGUCUCUGCUCGCUGUGGCGCCUCCCUGUUGCGCCGUUCCUUCGUCUGAGCUUUGGUGACUGAACCGUCGGAGAACGAACCCGUUGAGCCUGCCGAGUCCGUCGAGCCUGAACCCGGAAUCCCGUUCAUGGUCGAGCCCGAAGUUAACCCAGGCAAGCAGCUAAGCAUGAUUCUUUACUCCUAUUUAAUCUGAGUUAGUUAGUUACAUCACCGGGUAAUAUGGGGUUAUAUAGUAUGUAUGUAUUGCAUUUUGAUACCUAUUCUCUUGCAUUACCCUUCCUUGAAUUGUUAUCCAUGUCCUUGUCACUUGUUAGUCAGUUAAUAACUUAAUCUGAUUAGAUGCUUAGCCCUGCUUAGAAUACUCAUAUUGCUUGCUCGAAAGGAAUGGUUUGGAGUAUCACACUUACCUGAUUAUCCUUGAGUGCACUUGAGUAUCUGGGACAAGUGGAGUGCAGUAUCGAGAUUCGAGCGGAA
Long non-coding RNA from Panicum virgatum (switchgrass), 1320 nucleotides. RefSeq lists it as uncharacterized. Lineage: Eukaryota; Viridiplantae; Streptophyta; Magnoliopsida; Poales; Poaceae. The record is from RefSeq and is a predicted model, not a curated record. The transcript is spliced from 3 exons.